GGCCAGACUCCUACGGGAGGCAGCAGUGGGGAAUAUUGCACAAUGGGGGGAACCCUGAUGCAGCGACGCCGCGUGGGUGAAGAAGCGCCUCGGCGCGUAAAGCCCUGUCAGCAGGGAAGAAAAUGACGGUACCUGAAGAAGAAGCCCCGGCUAACUACGUGCCAGCAGCCGCGGUAAUACGUAGGGGGCAAGCGUUAUCCGGAUUUACUGGGUGUAAAGGGGGCGCAGACGGCGAUGCAAGCCAGGAGUGAAAGCCCGGGGCCCAACCCCGGGACUGCUCUUGGAACUGCGUGGCUGGAGUGCAGGAGGGGCAGGCGGAAUUCCUGGUGUAGCGGUGAAAUGCGUAGAUAUCAGGAGGAACACCGGUGGCGAAGGCGGCCUGCUGGACUGCAACUGACGUUGAGGCCCGAAAGCGUGGGGAGCAAACAGGAUUAGAUACCCCAGUAAA
This 448-nucleotide ribosomal RNA is filed under the name uncultured bacterium. Its description in RNAcentral is "partial 16S ribosomal RNA". It matches the Rfam family "Bacterial small subunit ribosomal RNA", at positions 329 to 794 of the family's 1533-position model. The record is from RNAcentral.